UUAUAUAUAAUGCUGUGGACGUGAUGUCAGUGUUGUACUCUUAGUGCAUUCCGUUUCCUAUUCAUCCCUAAUUAUACAGAGCAUCCUCAAUGGCAGUUUUAUUAAACAACUCCCUUUCACUUUAACCACAUACGUAACAAAUACAUAUAUGCUACCGCGGACUUUUUUGUAGGAAAUUAAAUUCUCUACAAAUUAUUUCUUCGUUUUCACAGCGUUUGCAAUUAAUGUACUCUUGUUGUGACUGAAUAUAAUAUUCAAAGUUUGUGAGCAAUUUUAUGGUAGAUAGUGCUUUACGACUCGAUGUUUUCCUAUUUGUACCUUUGCUACGUACUACUGUUACGCCCCUAGUAAUUGCAACUUAUUAUUUUACCUCUUUCAUCAUUUAAAAUACUUGCUAUUUGCAACUUCUGGAAAGUAAAAGUUUUAACAUAGUACCUAGUAGUGCUUUGCUUCCGCGCCCUUCUGACAGUGUAUUAUUAGUAUUAUGGGUAAAAAUAAGUGCGCUUAUGUCAAUUGCACUAACAAUAAAAUUAAAAAUAGGAACAUAUCAUUUUUUUCAUUUCCCAUAAAAAACCUUGCGCUUUGUACAGAAUGGCAGAAAAACUGUGGUAAUCGUAAAAUAGCCCUGAAAGACAUAAACGAGUUAAAAUAUAAUUAUUUGUGCGAAACUCAUUUUUUAAUAACGGAUUACCAAACGACGACGAAGAGGAAAGUAUUAAAUAAAAACGCCGUUCCAAAAAGAUAUGAGGAUACUACUCCGACAUCGCCAAUAAUCAAGAAUCCUAGGAAGCAGCAUUGUCCAGUUUCAACUACUCACACUGAUAAUGAAAUGUCUAUUGACCUCCCCGAAAUUACUAAAACGUAUUUACCUAAAAUGCCAAAGACAUCGAAUCCAUCACUACCCGAAAUUGACACAUACAGCGAAACAACUUCAGUCGCCAGUGUUAUGCCCAUGAAAACAACCAAAUUGUCUCCAAAUUGCAGAAGGUUAACCUUUAAAAUUGGCAACUUACGGAGAAAACCUAAAACAAAGGAAAAACCAUACUGACGUCUAAAGUAUAAAUCUGCAUCUAAUUCCACAUAUUCCAAUAUAUGCAACAGUUUAGUAAACAAAAGUGUGGAUGUUCAAACUUUUGUAAAGAUGCAGUGCUUUCAUAAAAAUAAUACAGUGUGGAGUGCUAGAGAAAAACGGUUGUCCAUUUCGUUGUUCUAUAAGUCACCGACUGCGUACAGAUUUAUGAGAGCCUCAUUAAAAUUUGUGUUGCCAAGUGUAAAGACAAUACAUUCGUGGCUUAAAGUUACAAAUUUACCAACGGGCACGGAUACAGUUUUAAUAAGAAAAAUGAAAUAAAAAGUGAAAUGUAUGAACUAGUCCGAAAAACAGUGUGUUGUGUUAUUUGACGAAAUUUCUUUAAAAAGAAAAUUAGACUAUAAAUAGUGCAUUAGAUGUAAUAGAAGGAUACCAAGAUCUAGGUUCAUUGGGCAGAACCAAUUUAAUUGCCAACAGUGGGUUAGUGUUUUAUUUAAGAGGCUUGUUUUAUAACUUUUGCUUAUUACGUUUCUUCAGAGGCCGUGAAAACAAGAGGACCUUAUUAAAAUACUUAAAGAAGUGUUAAAAACCAUUAUCGAUAUGUCAUUAAAACCCAGAAUGAUAAUGUUCGACCAAGGCUCUAAUAACCGCGGUACUUUUCUAGGAUUAGGCAGUACAAAAGAGUAUAUUAACGGUGAAAAAAUUUACACUGCUUUCGAUUCUCCACAUUUAAUUAAGUCUCUGCGCAAUAAUUUUAUUAAUCCGAAAUUGAAGUUUAUCGUUGAUGGGAAAGAACUAUCUUGGCAAUGUGUUAACAGCGUAUGAUGAAGACGUAAAAAGUGCAACGACCAGAGCUAUGUCGAAGAUUACUCCGUCCCAUAUCAACCCUAACAAUUUUGAAAAAAUGAAAGUUAGGUAUGCCACUCAAAUAUUUAGUAGGUCGGUAGCGACCGGUGUUCAAACUACCCAUACCAUUAAAGAUCGAGGUAGUAAAACAUGGAAAAACACAGUUUGGUUUAUAAACAGUAACAAUAAUUUGUUCGAUUCGUUAAACAGUAAGUUUCUGAACGAUUGCAAUCCAAACCGCAGGCCCAUAUCGAUUUACAAGCAACUUCCAAAGGACAACAUAUCAAAUGGGAAAGAUGUGUUCGAUAGUAUAUCCGUCUAAGAAGGUACCAAAAAAGAAACAAUAUUUAUUGUAUCGACGGAUUUAAACACACCAUGAACGCC
Long non-coding RNA from Photinus pyralis (common eastern firefly), 2260 nucleotides. RefSeq lists it as uncharacterized. Lineage: Eukaryota; Metazoa; Arthropoda; Insecta; Coleoptera; Lampyridae. The record is from RefSeq and is a predicted model, not a curated record. The transcript is spliced from 3 exons.